UUAGAUGUGAUCAAAGACUGGCCUGCUGAAAAGAAGAGAAUAUGGGAUCUUAAAGCCUGGAGGCAGACUUGGAGGAGGAAGAGAAGGACCAAGGCAAUGAGAGACAGAUGAGCCAUGCUCCAGGAUACAGGCUUCCUUUGUUCUCCCAGACAGCAUCCACUUUGCAGCCCAGGCUGACCUUGGACUCUCAGUGAUCCUCCUGCCUCAGCCUCCCAAGUGCUGACUGAGAAGACAGGUGUGCAGUACUGCAAUCAACUCUCAGCCAACCUUAAGAAGCGCUGGGGAGCUGCUACUGUUCUAGCUGCCUUGGGCAGAUUACCUCACAGUGCUGCGAGGGCACCUGUGUUGUCUUCUUGUCACAGAUGAACCUGGAGCCCAGGCACAUUAGGUGUUAGUCCGAGGUCAUGCAGCUGGAAGGUGAGGGGUCAGGCUUCCUGGACCCAGAGCCGUCCUCUCCACCUCCAGGUCAGGGCCAGCGAAGGGUCCAGUCCCC
This 493-nucleotide long non-coding RNA is filed under the name Heterocephalus glaber (naked mole-rat). RNAcentral's name for it is "lncRNA (ENSHGLG00100038864.1)". The record is from RNAcentral. Lineage: Eukaryota; Metazoa; Chordata; Mammalia; Rodentia; Bathyergidae.